AGGUCAAGCAAGAAAGAGCGCAGGGUGGAUGCCUUGGCACUAAGAGCCGAAGAAAGACGUGAUAAGCUGCGAAAAGCUGCGGGGAGGAGCAAAUAUCCAUUGAGCCGCAGAUAUCUGAAUGGGGAAACCCGGCUGGACGAACUCCAGUCAUCCAUACGCCAAUCCAUAACGUAUGGAAGGGAACCCGGUGAACUGAAACAUCUAAGUAGCCGGAGGAANNNNNNNNNNGAACCCGGUGAACUGAAACAUCUAAGUAGCCGGAGGAAGAGAAAGAAAAAUCGAUUUCCAAAGUAGCGGCGAGCGAAAUGGAAAGAGGCCAAACCAUGGUGCGUGCACCGUGGGGUUCGGACCGCAUAAUUGAUUCGUUGAUCCUAGCAGAAAGGUUUUGGGAAAGCCUGCCAGAGAGGGUGAAAGCCCCGUAAGCGAAAGGAAAGACGACAUGGCGGAAUCCAGAGUACAUCGAGACACGAGAAACCUUGAUGGAAUGAGCGGGGACCACCCCGUAAGCCUAAAUACUCCUUAGUGACCGAUAGCGCAUAGUACUGUGAAGGAAAGGUGAAAAGGACCCCGGGAGGGGAGUGAAAGAGAACCUGAAACCCUGUGUUUACAAGCUGUGGAACAUCUUUAUAUGAUGAACCGCGUACUUUUUGUAGAACGGUCCGGCGAGUUACGCGUGCCGGCAAGGUUAAGCACUUAAGGUGUGGAGCCGAAGAGAAAUCGAGUCUGAACAGGGCGUUCAGUCAGCACGCGUAGACCCGAAACCGGGUGAUCUACCCAUGUCCAGGUUGAAGUUGCCGUAAAAGGCAAUGGAGGACCGAACGCACAUCCGUUGAAAAGGGUGGCGAUGAGGUGUGGGUAGGGGAGAAAUUCCAAUCGAACCCGGAGAUAGCUGGUUCUCCUCGAAAUAGCUUUAGGGCUAGCCUCAUUUUAGUCUUAUGGAGGUAGAGCACUGAAUUUCCGCGGGGGCGUCAAAGCUUACCAAAGAAUAUCAAACUCCGAAUGCCAUGUAGAUGAUGAAUGGGAGUCAGACUGCACGAGAUAAGUUGGGUGGUCAAAAGGGAAAGAGCCCAGACCUACAGCUAAGGUCCCAAAGUGCGUGUUAAGUGGAAAAGGAUGUGGGAUUUCAAAGACAACCAGGAUGUUGGCUCAGAAGCAGCCAUACAUUCAAAGAGUGCGUAACAGCUCACUGGUCGAGAGGUCCUGCGCCGAAAAUGUCCGGGGCUGAAACACGACACCGAAGCUUAGGAAUCACAUAGUGAUUGGUAGAGGAGCAUUCUUAAAACCGACGAAGCUGUACCGGAAGGAGCAGUGGAGGGAUAAGAAGAGAGAAUGCCGGAAUGAGUAGCGAGAGGAAGGUGGGAAUCCUUCCGGCCGAAUAUCUAAGGUUUCCAGAGUAAAGCUGAUCUGCUCUGGGUAAGUCGGGGCCUAAGGAGAGGUCGAAAGACGUAUCCGAUGGACAACAGGUUUAGAUUCCUGUACCACAUAUAAACAGAACUGUGGGGACGCAUGUGGAAAGCAUAAGCCGGGAAUGGAAAUACCGGUACAAACGGAAGAGGUGUCAGGCUGGCAAAUCCGCCUGGCAAGCCAAAGACGUGAUGUGGAGCGAAAUAAAAGUAGCGAAGUAUGUGAGCCAUGUGCCGAGAAAAGCCGCUAUUGUUUUAUAUGUGCCCGUACCGUAAACCGACACAGGUGGAUGAGGAGAGAAUCCUAAGGCCGACGGAAGAAGCAUUGUUAAGGAACUCGGCAAAAUGACCCCGUAACUUCGGGAGAAGGGGUGCCCACUUCAGGGUGGGCCGCAGAGAAUAGGCUCAAGCAACUGUUUAGCAAAAACACAGGUCUAUGCGAAACCGUAAGGUGAAGUAUAUGGGCUGACGCCUGCCCGGUGCUGGAAGGUUAAGAGGAGAGGUUAGUCGCAAGAUGAAGCUUUGAAUUUAAGCCCCAGUAAACGGCGGCCGUAACUAUAACGGUCCUAAGGUAGCGAAAUUCCUUGUCGGGUAAGUUCCGACCCGCACGAAAGGCGUAAUGAUUUGAGCACUGUCUCGACAAUGCAUCCGGUGAAAUUGAAGUACCAGUGAAGAUGCUGGUUACCCGCGCCAGGACGGAAAGACCCCAUGGAGCUUUACUCCAGUUUGGUACUGGGAUUCGGUACUGCAUGUACAGGAUAGGUGGGAGACUGAGAAAUUGGAACGCCAGUUUCAAUGGAGUCACUGUUGGGAUACCACCCCUGCAGUAUUGGGUUUCUAACCAGCCGCUGUGAUCCAGCGGUGGGACAAUGCCAGGCGGGGAGUUUGACUGGGGCGGUCGCCUCCGAAAGGGUAUCGGAGGCGCUCAAAGGUUCCCUCAGAAUGGUCGGAAACCAUUUUAAGAGUGCAAAGGCAGAAGGGAGCUUGACUGCGACACCGACGGGUGGAGCAGGUACGAAAGUAGGACUUAGUGAUCCGGUGGCAUAAAGUGGGAUUGCCAUCGCUCAACGGAUAAAAGCUACCCUGGGGAUAACAGGCUUAUCACUCCCAAGAGUUCACAUCGACGGAGUGGUUUGGCACCUCGAUGUCGGCUCAUCGCAUCCUGGGGCUGUAGCAGGUCCCAAGGGUUGGGCUGUUCGCCCAUUAAAGCGGUACGCGAGCUGGGUUCAGAACGUCGUGAGACAGUUCGGUCCCUAUCCGGCGCGGGCGGAGGAUAUUUGAGAGGAGCUGUCCUUAGUACGAGAGGACCGGGAUGGACGGACCACUGGUGUAUCUGCUGUCGACCAACGGCAUGGCAGAGUAGCCAAGUCCGGAAGGGAUAAACGCUGAAGGCAUCUAAGCGUGAAGCCCCCCUCAAGAUGAGAUAUCCCUCACAUAAGUGAGUAAGAUCCCUUGAAGAGUACAAGGUAGAUAGGGCAGAGGUGGAAGCACGGUAACGUGUGGAGCUGACUGUUACUAAUCGAUCGAGGGCUUGACCAAAU
Molecule: ribosomal RNA, 2944 nt
Filed under: Roseburia intestinalis
Lineage: Bacteria; Bacillati; Bacillota; Clostridia; Lachnospirales; Lachnospiraceae
Description: 23S ribosomal RNA
Rfam family: Bacterial large subunit ribosomal RNA
Source: RNAcentral